UGAAGUAACUACUUAAAAUUUUAAAUAAUUAUAAAUUCAAAUAACCUUAUAAAAAUCUAUUAACGUAUACCAAACACCCUCAAAAUAAAAUCUAUUUUUUACCUAUCUAGACUGCAACAUAUUUCCAGUGCUAAACGGUAUGUGACGGUCUAUAUUUCCACUUUAGGUUAUAUCUGUAUCCUUAAUUUGAGCGGAUAGCUGCAAAAUCAUAACGAAGAGAAAAGAAAACCAUCGUUUUAAAAGCAGCAUUACGAAUACGUAUACCAGAUUGAUGCCUCUUUUCUAUUCCUUUUUCUCCCCUGUCCUUGCCUGUGUUAUCCGACUACAAUAGGCGGGACAUACAGUAAAACAAAAUCAUGCAUCCACAUUCGCUACAGAAUAUUUGGAAUCAGAGAGUCAACAAACACUGAAGAAACAUUUGAGUAGCUUAAAAACGAAAGGAUUCCUCGACAAGACCAUUAAACCAUAUAUGCUGUGCAGCAAAAAUAGCAUCAAGGCAAAGUAAACGACCAUGAAAACCACCAGUGCAAUUUUGUAAGUUUCUCUGGCAAUUG
This 554-nucleotide unclassified non-coding RNA is filed under the name Hevea brasiliensis (rubber tree). Lineage: Eukaryota; Viridiplantae; Streptophyta; Magnoliopsida; Malpighiales; Euphorbiaceae. The record is from RNAcentral.